Molecule: unclassified non-coding RNA, 203 nt
Filed under: uncultured bacterium
Lineage: Bacteria
Description: contains 16S-23S intergenic spacer region
Source: RNAcentral
ACUUCGUUUCGAAUCGGGCAGGGAAGCGUGCCGUCAUCUGCUGCAGUGCGCCCGCACCGCUGAUGGUCACUUUCUUCCGCUUACCGCCGCCGAACUGGCGACGCGGAUGCAGGCUGGAGGCUUCUCAGUGACGACGUUGGACGCUGAAGCCCUGCUACGCGAACUCGCCGCCGACGGCGAAGUGGCCGAGAUCGACGAGUUGG